This 686-nucleotide ribosomal RNA is filed under the name uncultured Clostridium sp. RNAcentral describes it as "bacterial SSU rRNA". It matches the Rfam family "Bacterial small subunit ribosomal RNA", at positions 70 to 772 of the family's 1533-position model. Lineage: Bacteria; Bacillati; Bacillota; Clostridia; Eubacteriales; Clostridiaceae. The record is from RNAcentral.
UGAAUCUCCUUCGGGAGUGAAGCUAGCGGCGGACGGGUGAGUAACACGUGGGCAACCUGCCUCAUAGAGGGGAAUAGCCUUCCGAAAGGAAGAUUAAUACCGCAUAAGAUUGUAGCUUCGCAUGAAGUAGCAAUUAAAGGAGCAAUCCGCUAUGAGAUGGGCCCGCGGCGCAUUAGCUAGUUGGUGAGGUAACGGCUCACCAAGGCGACGAUGCGUAGCCGACCUGAGAGGGUGAUCGGCCACAUUGGGACUGAGACACGGCCCAGACUCCUACGGGAGGCAGCAGUGGGGAAUAUUGCACAAUGGGGGAAACCCUGAUGCAGCAACGCCGCGUGAGUGAUGACGGCCUUCGGGUUGUAAAGCUCUGUCUUCAGGGACGAUAAUGACGGUACCUGAGGAGGAAGCCACGGCUAACUACGUGCCAGCAGCCGCGGUAAUACGUAGGUGGCGAGCGUUGUCCGGAUUUACUGGGCGUAAAGGGAGCGUAGGCGGACUUUUAAGUGAGAUGUGAAAUACCCGGGCUCAACUUGGGUGCUGCAUUUCAAACUGGAAGUCUAGAGUGCAGGAGAGGAGAAUGGAAUUCCUAGUGUAGCGGUGAAAUGCGUAGAGAUUAGGAAGAACACCAGUGGCGAAGGCGAUUCUCUGGACUGUAACUGACGCUGAGGCUCGAAAGCGUGGGGAGCAAA